AUGUUUGCUCAAUCGCGUGGUGGCUCUCAGUUUUGGAAGUCCUUGGUCAAAGUUAGACCUGUGUUUCAAUCUUUUGUUAAGUUUGUUGUUGGGGAUGACUCCUUGAUUAGGUUUUGGCUUGAUUGGUGGUGCGGAGACUCACCCCUCUCGGUGUCCUUCUCCGCCCUUUUCUCUUAUUGUUCUGAUCCUAGCAUUUCUAUUGCGGAGUUGGCUGCCCAGGGGUGGAACUUGGUCUUUCGCCGCUCCCUGUCGCAACGUCUUACUGCCCUCUUCCCAUCGCUCUCGACGAAUAGGGAUUCGGUAGUCUGGCCGCUGUCUGCCUCUGGGCGCUUCUCUGUUAAGUCGCUUUAUUCUAGGCUUGUUGGUGGCACGCCCACUAAUCGGUUUUCCCAAAUCUGGAAGGCCCGUAUUCCUCCCAAAAUUAAGAUUUUCUUGUGGCAAGCUUUCAGAGGCCGGUUGCCCUCGGCUGAUCAAAUUCGUAAGAGAAAUGGGUCAGGCUCCCAGUUUUGUGCUUUGUGCGGUGCUGUGGAGGACACAUACCAUAUUUUUUUCCAUUGUGCCCUGGCAAAACUCAUUUGGAGCUGCGUUAGGGAGUGGCUUCUUGUCUCUUGGGCCUCUGGCUCCUUCUCCGAGUUGCGCAGCUUGGCUGACAAUCUUUCGGGUGUAUCUAGACGUAUCUUUUGGGUGGGCCUCGGUGCUUUUUGCUGGUCCCUUUGGACGACUAGGAACAAAUUUACUAUUGAACGUGUGUUUCCGGCUAAACCUGCUGACUGCUUGUUUAAAUCAUGUGCUUAA
This 795-nucleotide ribosomal RNA is filed under the name Triticum aestivum (bread wheat). Its description in RNAcentral is "partial small subunit ribosomal RNA". The record is from RNAcentral. Lineage: Eukaryota; Viridiplantae; Streptophyta; Magnoliopsida; Poales; Poaceae.